UCGGAACUCAAAGUGGCCGUGGUGGGUCUGAAAUGCCGUCUUAUGUUGAUCCUCGGGCGCCAUGCGAAUUUGGUAGAAACCAGCACGGAGGUCCAACGUUGAAAACCAGGCAGCCCCAUAUAACUCGUCGAGCAGUUCAUCCAUAAUAGGAACAGGAAUUCGGAGGAAGGAGCAGAGCUGCAGAGGUAGUAUUGAUUCUGUUCAAUUGUUCGAUCCUGUUUUCCUCCACACACUCUCCUUAUCUACUGGUACUGCCACAUGGGCUUACAUGAACCACUUGUCCAAUGGAAAAAGAGAAUUGGGCCUACGGACACGGCGGCCCGACACCUUGAUUUGCUCAUCCUGUAGCACGCUUUCAUCAGAGUUCCCCUGUAGCCCCUCUGGUAUGCUGACAUGGCUGAAGCUGAGAAGGCGACCGCAGAGGCUGCGAAGAGAGCCGCUGUUACGCUGCGUAGCGAUCAUCUACUCAACGAAACCUGUGAUGAAGAGGACGUGGAUACUUUUAGCGAGUGUGAUACUGUGAUGAUUAUGAGGAGGAGGCCAUUUGGAAUCAACCACUCCCUCCAACUCUCGCUGAUCACUGUGAGGAGUGGGGCCUCAACCUAGAGGAGAUCCUAGAUCGCUCCAUUUGAAUGUUGUCGUACUAACAGAAGAUUGUUUUAAGUUAUCAAUGAAUUGUUUAGUCUUUUAGAUUAUGUGAUAUGUCGUUUUGAACAGGACAAUGCCCUGAGUAGCUUUUGAACAACCUUCUAUAAUAUGAACCGGCCAAUGGCCUAUGUUGAUGAAUUAUGGUGUGGACUUAUGUGAUGUUUCUGUGUAUGCGCUUGAUGAUCCAUUUGAAAUUGAGUUGA
Molecule: long non-coding RNA, 851 nt
Organism: Zea mays
Lineage: Eukaryota; Viridiplantae; Streptophyta; Magnoliopsida; Poales; Poaceae
Exons: 2
Source: RefSeq, a predicted model, not a curated record